AAAAAACUCAAAGGAAUUGCAGGUUCCGGUAGAAGCCUUGGGAGCAGGAAGCAGCCACGAAAGAGAGAAGGUCUGCAACUGCCCCAGGUGUCCCACCCAGAAGAUAGCUGUGGUGAAACGGACCCAGAAAUCCAGCUAUCUAAAAAAAUUCUGCUUCUCUCUUGGGUAGGUAAAAUGUUCUCAUUGCAUGUACAUUUGCUAAGUUACAUCUGGAGCACCACAGAGAUAAGAUGCUUCUGACUAGUGCUGGAACAUCAUGGGAGAAACAGUGUAAGCAAAAAAGAGAAAGGUGCUGCAAGUUUAGAGUGGUGUGUAUGCAAACUUAGUGGAGCCACAGGAUGAAGUAAUCUGGG
This is a long non-coding RNA of Corvus hawaiiensis (hawaiian crow), 353 nucleotides long. RefSeq lists it as uncharacterized. The transcript has 3 exons. NCBI's taxonomy places the organism in Eukaryota, Metazoa, Chordata, Aves, Passeriformes, Corvidae. The record is from RefSeq and is a predicted model, not a curated record.